Molecule: ribosomal RNA, 477 nt
Filed under: uncultured bacterium
Lineage: Bacteria
Description: partial 16S ribosomal RNA
Rfam family: Bacterial small subunit ribosomal RNA
Source: RNAcentral
AUGAACGCUGGCGGCGUGCCUAACCCAUGCAAGUCGAACGGAGUCCAGCCUUUCAGACCUUCGGGUCAAAGAGGGGAAGACUGAGUGGCGGACGGGUGAGUAACACGUGGGCAACCUGGCUCAUAGAGGGGGAUAACAGAGAGAAAUUUCUGCUAAUACCGCAUAAGCACACACUGCCGCAUGGCAGAGGGUGAAAAGAGAAUCGCUAUGAGAUGGACCCGCGUCUGAUUAGCCAGUUGGCAGGGUAAGAGCCUACCAAAGCGACGAUCAGUAGCCGAUCUGAGAGGAUGAACGGCCACAUUGGGACUGAGACACGGCCCAAACUCCUACGGGAGGCAGCAGUGGGGGAUAUUGCACAAUGGGGGGAACCCUGAUGCAGCGACGCCGCGUGAGUGAAGAAGUAUUUCGGUAUGUAAAGCUCUAUCAGCAGGGAAGAUAAUGACAGUACCCGAAUAAGAAGCCCCGGCUAACUACGUG